AGUGGGAUAGCUGGGUCAAAUGGUGGUUCCAUUCCCAGUUUUCCAAGGAUUCUCCAUACUUCUUUCCAGAUUGGCUGCACCAUUUUGCAGUCCCGCCUGCAAU
This 103-nucleotide microRNA precursor is filed under the name Marmota monax (woodchuck). The record is from RNAcentral. Lineage: Eukaryota; Metazoa; Chordata; Mammalia; Rodentia; Sciuridae.